This 253-nucleotide ribosomal RNA is filed under the name uncultured bacterium. RNAcentral describes it as "partial 16S ribosomal RNA". It matches the Rfam family "Bacterial small subunit ribosomal RNA", at positions 524 to 776 of the family's 1533-position model. The record is from RNAcentral.
UACGGAGGGAGCUAGCGUUGUUCGGAAUUACUGGGCGUAAAGCGUGCGUAGGCGGCUUUGUAAGUUAGAGGUGAAAGCCCGGAGCUCAACUCCGGAAUUGCCUUUAAAACUGCAUCGCUUGAAUCCAGGAGAGGUGAGUGGAAUUCCGAGUGUAGAGGUGAAAUUCGUAGAUAUUCGGAAGAACACCAGUGGCGAAGGCGGCUCACUGGACUGGUAUUGACGCUGAGGUACGAAAGCGUGGGGAGCAAACAGG